This 303-nucleotide ribosomal RNA is filed under the name uncultured bacterium. Its description in RNAcentral is "bacterial SSU rRNA". It matches the Rfam family "Bacterial small subunit ribosomal RNA", at positions 355 to 675 of the family's 1533-position model. The record is from RNAcentral.
UGGGGAAUAUUGCACAAUGGGGGAAACCCUGAUGCAGCGACGCCGCGUGAGUGAAGAAGUAUUUCGGUAUGUAAAGCUCUAUCAGCAGGGAAGAUAAUGACGGUACCUGACUAAGAAGCCCCGGCUAACUACGUGCCAGCAGCCGCGGUAAUACGUAGGGGGCAAGCGUUAUCCGGAUUUACUGGGUGUAAAGGGAGCGUAGGUGGCAGGGCAAGUCAGAUGUGAAAACCCGGGGCUCAACCCCGGGAGUGCAUUUGAAACUGUCCAGCUGGAGUGCAGGAGAGGUAAGCGGAAUUCCUAGUG